AAAAAAAUUAAAUAGCUUGUUUUAUUUUUCAAAUUUACAUUUCUAAUUGUGAUACAUGUUUAUAUUGUAGGUUUUUGAUCAAAGAAGUGUGCCCACAAAUUUUGGACAUCAAGAGGAGCAUACGUGAUUGAUGAAGAAUUUAGUACAUUAUGGAAAUGUUUUUUGACUUAUUUUAUGCUUUGUGAGCAAUAUGUUAUGUUUUCAUUUGUAGUACCUAUUUGUCUUAUAUUGCUUCCUUGUAAUUUUUUAACUCAUAUUUUGUGUUUAAUUUGAAUUUCAAUGUGUUUACUUGAUAUAUUUUGGUAUACUUUUAUAAAUAUUUUGAUAUAUCUUGUCAA
Molecule: long non-coding RNA, 338 nt
Filed under: Phaseolus vulgaris (common bean)
Lineage: Eukaryota; Viridiplantae; Streptophyta; Magnoliopsida; Fabales; Fabaceae
Description: long non-coding RNA (PVUL_LNC004396)
Source: RNAcentral